RNAcentral lists this ribosomal RNA (499 nucleotides) under uncultured bacterium. Its description in RNAcentral is "bacterial SSU rRNA". It matches the Rfam family "Bacterial small subunit ribosomal RNA", at positions 903 to 1397 of the family's 1533-position model. The record is from RNAcentral.
AAAGGAAUUGACGGGGACCCGCACAAGCGGUGGAGCAUGUGGUUUAAUUCGACGCAACGCGAAGAACCUUACCAGGGCUUGACAUCCCCCGCCGCCCGUGGAAACACGGGGUUCGCGCCUUCGGGCGCGACGGGGAGACAGGUGGUGCAUGGUUGUCGUCAGCUCGUGUCGUGAGAUGUUGGGUUAAGUCCCGCAACGAGCGCAACCCCUACUUUUAGUUGCCAGCAUUAGGUUGGGCACUCUAGAGGAACUGCCGGUGACAAACCGGAGGAAGGUGGGGACGACGUCAAAUCAUCAUGCCCUUUAUGUCCUGGGCUACACACGUGCUACAAUGGCCGGUACAGAGGGCUGCGAAGGGGCGACCCGGAGCGAAUCCCAAAAAGCCGGUCUCAGUUCGGAUUGCAGGCUGAAACCCGCCUGCAUGAAGUUGGAAUCGCUAGUAAUCGCGAGUCAGCACAUCGCGGUGAAUACGUUCCCGGGUCUUGCACACACCGCCCGU